CAUCCCCUUCGCCGGCUGCGC
This 21-nucleotide microRNA is filed under the name Triticum aestivum (bread wheat). Its description in RNAcentral is "tae-nsmR9". Lineage: Eukaryota; Viridiplantae; Streptophyta; Magnoliopsida; Poales; Poaceae. The record is from RNAcentral.